Molecule: ribosomal RNA, 434 nt
Filed under: uncultured bacterium
Lineage: Bacteria
Description: bacterial SSU rRNA
Rfam family: Bacterial small subunit ribosomal RNA
Source: RNAcentral
GACGAACGCUGGCGGCAGGCCUAACACAUGCAAGUCGAGCGAGACCUUCGGGUCUAGCGGCGGACGGGUUAGUAACGCGUGGGAACGUGCCCUUCUCUGCGGAAUAGCCACUGGAAACGGUGAGUAAUACCGCAUACGCCCUUCGGGGGAAAGAGUUUAUCGGAGAAGGAUCGGCCCGCGUUAGAUUAGAUAGUUGGUGGGGUAACGGCCUACCAAGUCUACGAUCUAUAGCUGGUUUUAGAGGAUGAUCAGCAACACUGGGACUGAGACACGGCCCAGACUCCUACGGGAGGCAGCAGUGGGGAAUCUUGGACAAUGGGCGCAAGCCUGAUCCAGCCAUGCCGCGUGAGUGAUGAAGGCCUUAGGGUCGUAAAGCUCUUUCGCCAGAGAUGAUAAUGACAGUAUCUGGUAAAGAAGUCCCGGCUAACUCCGUG